AUAAAUAAAUUUUAUAUGGUUUAAAAAAUUUAUUUUAAAUUUAUUUUACAUAUAAAUUUUAGUGUAUAUUUAUUUAUUUAUUUUAAAAAUAUUUAUUUUAAGUAGUAAUUAAUAUUAAAAAUUUAAGAAAUUAAGAUUUAGUAAUAUAAAAAUUUAUAACAAAUUUUGUGCCAGCAGUUGCGGUUAAACAAAAGUUAAAUUAAAUUUUAUUAGUUAUUUAAUAAUUAAUUAUAUUAUUAUAGUAUAAUAUUUAAUAAUAAUUUAAAAUUAAAAUUAUUAAGUGAAAUUUUAAUUUUAUUUAAUUUAUUUAUUUUAUUUAUGAUUUAAUAAAUUUUAAUAAUAAACUAGGAUUAGAUACCCUAUUAUUUAAAAUUUAAAUUUAAAAAUACUGAAAUAGUAGGUAAUUAUUUAUUGAAACUUAAAUAUUUUGGCGGUAUUUUAGUUUAUUUAGAGGAAUCUGUUUAUUAAUUGAUAAUCCACGAUUAAAUUUACUUAAUUUAAUAUUUUGUAUAUCGUUGUUAAAAAAAUAUUUUUUAAUAAUUAAUAAUAUUUUAAAGUUAUAAAAAAAAAUUAAAUCAAAUCAAGAUGCAGAUUAUAAUUAAGAAUAUAAUGGAUUACAAUAAAUUUAUUUAAAUGAAUUUUAAUUUGUAAAAAUUAAAUAAAAGUGGAUUUAAAUGUAAUUUUAUUUAAUAUAAUAAAAUGAUUAAAAAUUAAAAUAUGUACAUAUUGCCCGUCGCUUUCAUUAAUAAAUUGAAAUAAGUCGUAACAAAGUAGAGGUACUGGAAAGUGUUUCUAGAAAGAAA
Molecule: non-coding RNA, 803 nt
Filed under: Phthonandria atrilineata (mulberry looper)
Lineage: Eukaryota; Metazoa; Arthropoda; Insecta; Lepidoptera; Geometridae
Source: RNAcentral